CAGAGCCUGAACCCUCUGUCGCUAAAAAUGUCAAUAUCUCAUUGCAAUCCCAAAGCAUCGCAGUUGAUAAACAUUUUAGCUCCACUCCUUCCUCACAUAUUUCCUGUGUGCACAGUGGAGCGCAAAGUGAUGGAGGGUUUGCAUUCCACCAAUCCACUGGAAGAGUAACAAAUCCCACUCCAACUUCAUCCAGCAACGUGAUGGCAUUCUCUUUUUCUCUUAAUGAUGACUCAACACCUCAGGAAGACAGAGCCUACCAGCAGUCAUCUAACAUUGCGGACAGCAUACAGGUGUUGGCUAAAGAAGGGACUGGACUGAAGGUUAGAAAAACAAAUGUCAAAACAUCUAUCAAUAGGGAAAAUACAAAGCAACCAAGCAACAGAAAUGAGAUGCAAGGAGAGGAAAAAGGAAACUCGACAGAGAUACGGCAUGCACAUGCAAAUGUUGGGAUAAAGAGCCUGGCCAAGUUGAGACGGAUGCAGCAGAUGAUGGAGACGCAGACCACGCAGAUUUCUAUCAAGGUGAAGCUGAGGAGGCAGACAAAUGGAGAAGUGUGGGAGGUUGUGAGCAUGCAAAACACAGAUGAGGCGUUGUCAGUUCUUACCUCCCUGACACGGGAUGGCUCCAGCCACCAAAGGCUGCAGACAGAACUUACAAAGAGUGAGCCUCCUCCAUCCUGUGUCCAGCCAGGCCCAACUCAUAAACCAGAGACCCCGACUAUUCAACCUGCUCCCACCAACUCCCCCGCUGACUCCCAGCUUCUCUCCAGUGACUGCCUAGAUAACGGCCUUGAGUCAGUCCCGCUGCCCCAGCCUCCAGGCCCUGCGGAGGAGUGUGAUGAGCAGAUAGAGAAGCUGUUGGAGGACAUCAUGAUGGGUCUGAACAUCCUGCCAAACUUGGACAGAGACUGCAAACAGUCUUCAUUAAUUCUUCAACCAAACCAGUGAAGGAGCAGAGGACCAUUUGCCA
This 969-nucleotide long non-coding RNA is filed under the name Cyclopterus lumpus (lumpfish). RNAcentral's name for it is "lncRNA (ENSCLMG00005000464.1)". The record is from RNAcentral. Lineage: Eukaryota; Metazoa; Chordata; Actinopteri; Perciformes; Cyclopteridae.